RNAcentral lists this long non-coding RNA (222 nucleotides) under Gallus gallus (chicken). Lineage: Eukaryota; Metazoa; Chordata; Aves; Galliformes; Phasianidae. The record is from RNAcentral.
UGCUAAUCAUCAUGGUGGGCUUCCCCGGGACUGCCCCUGUGGUGGUGAUGACCUUGGGCUUGCUGCGGGCACCAUCUCCCUUGGUUGUGUAGGCAGCGACUGUGACGGAGUAGGUGGUUUCCGGCAGCAGGCCUCCAAUGACCGUCUCCUGUGCUUCCGACAGCAUGACGUCCUUGAUGACGGGCUGCCCGCGGGGCUCAUUGUUUUCCAGCUUCACGUAGG